GUGUGUGUGUGUGCACGCGCGUGCAUGUGUGGGUGUGUGGCACUGAAGAGAUCUAGGGGACCCAGAGCUUCACAUCUUAAAUAUUUCUCCCUUCUAUCCAUUUCUUUCCAGCUCCAUCAACAUCCACCCUAAGCCCUUGAUGAUUUGUAAUCAGUGACAGUCCCAAGAACCAGCUGGUCAGUCGGGCUUUUUAGCUCCCUCCCCUCUACUGUUCUGUCUCACAGCCUCCCUGCCCUCUUCUUUGGUAUGCACAAUGGACAUUUUCUCAGUCCCUCUUAGGUAAAGUGACGUGCAAAUAAAACUUCUGCUCCCUUACUUUUCCUCUUUCUUUCUUCCUGUCCUUUUUCUUCUUCCAUCUCCUUCCUUCCUUCCUUUCCUCCCUCCUUGUUUGCUUGCUUGAUAGGGUCUCACUGUGUAGGCCAGGCUGACCUUGAAGUCCUGAGCCUCCUUCCUCAAGGAUGCUGAGGUCACAGGCAGUGGCCACCACGCGGGGCUCAGACACCUGCUUCCAGUCCUCUGGCAGGUAACCUUUCUGGGUUCACGGCAGUGUCCCCUGGCCUCCCACUAAUCGCCCUGUGGCCAGUACCUCCCACCCACCAAAGUCCUAGUUCCUGUGGGUUUCCAUUCCAACGUGAGAAACAGCAGAAGCUGGAGAGUCUAACAUCCAACACUGGGGCAGAGGGAGGCUCCUGGCGUCAGAGCUGGGGAGAGGAGUUUGGAGGUGUCAUUGAAGUUCUCCAUACGGCAACCAGGGAAAGAAAUUUUUUCUAACUUCAAGUGUGGGUGUCACUCUUAGGUCCUUUCUGGAAUCACAGGAAACCCCAAGACCCCCAGUUCCCCACAUGGUAAACCACUGGACUAUUCUGUGACCUGUUCCUCCACAGCUUUCUCCACCUGAGCCCCCUCACAUCCCUUCCUCCAUCCCCCACUUAGACCUCGCACCUCCUCAGGGUGGGUGUGAGUUCCUGGAGCCUUCUCAGCCUGCAGGUACAACGGAUUGAGACAAGCUGUGUCUUCUGCUCCUCAGCACGGGAUCGAACUUGGGACCUUGUGCUUGCAAGGCAGGCGCCAGAACCACUGAGCUAAAUCCCCAGCCCAAAGAGUAGGUACUUUUUAAGAUUUCCAUAGACACUAAAUAUUGCUUCCCAAAGAACAUGUACCCAUCUCUAACGCAGCCACUAGAAUAUGAAGAUUGUGCCGGGCGUGGUGGCACACCUGUAAUCCUACCACUCAGGAGGCUGAGGCAGGAGGAUCACCAGGAGAUCAAGGCCAGCCUGGACUACAUAGGGAAAUCCUGUCACAGCCAAACAGACAAAAAUAUGAAGAUUGUUCCUCUGUCAUGAAUACCACCAAUCAACAAGCUCUGGGGAUUGAAUCGGGAUUUACACCCACUAGGCCAGCACUCUGCCACAAAGACUCAUCCCCAGCCCUUCCCUCCUGCUUGUUUCCUUGAUUCAUUGACCUUCAUUGAUCUUUGGAGGCCUUUAGACUUUUUUUUUGUUACUGGGCAUCAAACUCAGGACCUUGUGCUUGCCAGUCAGGGGGUGGAACCACUGAGCUAAAUCGCUGGCCCUUGAUAUAUAUUUUUUAAUUAUAUGUAAUAGUAAUGUCUCUUCCAAUUUGUGACUUAAAA
Heterocephalus glaber (naked mole-rat) is the source of this 1633-nucleotide non-coding RNA. NCBI's taxonomy places the organism in Eukaryota, Metazoa, Chordata, Mammalia, Rodentia, Bathyergidae. The record is from RefSeq and is a predicted model, not a curated record.